AACAGAACAAGCCUGCAGCUGGCCUUUAUCUAGUCAUGUAAGACUCGAGGUCACUGCCUCAGUGGGGGAUAUACAGUGGUACCUCGAGUUAAGUACUUAAUUCGUUCCGGAGGUCCGUUCUUAACCUGAAACUGUUCUUAACCUGAAGCACCACUUUAGCUAAUGGGGCCUCCCGCUGCUGCCGCACUAUUUCUGUUCUCACCCUGAAGCAAAGUUCUUAACCCGGGGAACUAUUUCUGGGCUAGCGGAGUCUGUAACCUGAAGCGUAUGUAACCCGAGGUACCACUGAAUACUCCUGCCUGCUGGGCAGUUUCUCUUCAUUCUGUUUUUUUCUUUUGUUUCUGCAUAUACUGUUUGUUUUUGGCAUUUGUAACUGGACAUGCUCUCUGAGCAAAGUGAUUUUUUUGUGUGUCUUAAUGUGGAGCCAGUACGUUUCUGCAUGCUUUAAGGCCUCAGUAAAACUACUACAGUGGUACCUUGGUAGUCAAAUGCCUUAGUUGUUGAACAAAUCGGCUCCCGAAGUAAGUAUUCCGGUUUGCAAAUGUUUUUUGGAAGCCGAACGUCUGACAUGGCUUCCACGGCUUCCGCUUGAGUGCAGGAAGUUCCCACAGCCAAUCAGAAGCCGUGCCUUGGUUUUCAAACCAUUUCGGGAGUCAAACAGACUCCCAGAACGAAUUGAAUUUGAGAACCAAGGUACGACUGUACAGUGGUACCUCUGGUUGUGAACGGGAUCCAUUCUGGAGGCCCAUUCGCAACCUGAAAAGAACGCAACCUGCAUCUGCGCGUGCGCGGGUUGUGAUUUGCUGCUUCUGCGCAUGCACGUAAUGUCAUUUUGCACCUCUGCGCAUGCGCGAGCGGCAAAACCCGGAAGUAACCCUUUCCGAUACUUCCGGGUCACCACGGGACGCAACCUGAAAAUGCUCAACCUGAAGCAAACGUAACAUGAGGUAUGACUGUACUGAAGAAUCCUGCGGCCUGUGUGUGUUUUUUAUUCUUGCACGGUGUCAUUUGCUCAUGUUCUGAUGUGCUGUUUUCAGAUAUGGGGGCAGGGGGUGACUGGAUUUGGCACCAUCCCUGUCACCCCUUAAUAAGGACCCUUCAUGCUGCAAACCUUUGUCGCAGGUCUUGCUUGUGUCACCAAAUCGUUUGCAGGAUGUGCUCCUUUGGAAAAGGAGCCACAUCCUGCGAAUGGGCUCCCACAGACACACCUGCACUUGCCACACUUGCAACCAUUCCUGUUUCAUACAGGUGUGCCUUUUGUGGUUGCGGUUGUCCAAUCUUUCCACCGCAACUCACUCACUUUAUUGCUCAGCUGCCAGGCUCAACUCUGGAUGUUCUCAUUCUCCCACACCCCCAAAGGAUCAACCCCUGUAAUGGGUAGGCAGGCCUGCUAUAAUUAAGACACGAGGCUCUUUCCAUUAGAGCCACCAACAGCUGAAGCGAGGACUAAGGUUUCAUAUUAGAUUUUAUGGCUUCUCCUGCUUUGCAAAAGGAUCUGGUACCAGUGGCACUUAGGGAUUUGUGCUGUGUGAAAAGCUGCCAGCAAGGAUGACUAAGAUGGCUCUCCACUUGGAAAGAAGAUAAAGUCCCUACCAGAGAAGAAUGGCAAAUUAAAUCGAUGGCUAUGCUGAAAUGGCUAAAUUGACCGGAAAGCUCAGGAACCAGGAAGACCAAAACUUUAACAAACAAAGAGGGGUGGGAUUUGUAAUUUAUCUUGAAGACCACUGUAAGCAGAUGAAAACACUAGCAGGAUUGCAAUAACGCUUGUAAUGUAGCAAGAACUACGGAGCUGAUGGAGUUCACCCUUGCUUCUUGAUAAAGGUAAAGGGACCCCUGACCAUUAGGUCCAGUCGUGGCCGACUCUGGGGUUGCGGCGCUCAUCUCGCUUUAUUGGCCGAGGGAGCCAGCGUACAGCUUCCGGGUCAUGUGGCCAGCAUGACUAAGUCGCUUCUGGCAAACCACAGCAGCGCAUGGAAAGGCCGUUUACCUUCCCGCUGGAGCGGUACCUAUUUAUCUAUUUGCACUUUGACGUGCUUUCGAACUGCUAGGUUGGCAGGAACAGGGACCGAGCAACAGGAGCUCAUCCCGUCACGGGAAUUCGAACCGCUGACCUUCUGAAUGGCAAGUCCUAGGCUCUGUGGUUUAACCCACAGCGCCACCCGCGUCCCAAUAUGCUUCUUGAUAAAUACACAUUAAUUACAUUUCUGAAGUCUCCAUCCCUUGACCUGGAGUGAAUCGAACUGCUCAAACCCUUUACAGGAUGGCACAGCCUUCUGAUCACCUGAAACACCAGACAGGUGCAGUCCUGGAAGGUUGUAGGGACACGGGUGGCGCUGUGGUCUAAACCACGGAGCCUCUUGUGCUUGCUAUUCGGUAGGUCAGUGGUUCGAAUCCCCACAACAGGGUGAGCUCCUGUUACUCUGUUCCCGCUCUGUCCCCGCUCCUGCCAACCUAGCAGUUCGAAAGCAUGCCAGUACAAGUAGAUAAAUAGGUACAGCUGUGGUGGGAAGGUAAACGGCAUUUCCGUGCGCUCUGGCUUCCAUCACGGUGUCCCAUUGCGCCACAUCUGUCUGUGGACAAACCCCGGCUCCCUCGGCCUGAAAGCGAGCUGAGCGCCGCAACCCCACAGUCACCUUUGAACCGCCCAGGGGUCCUUUACCUUUUACCUUUGGAAGGUUGUGUGAGAGAGGACACACUGCAACAAUUUGUUGCAGAUCCCACUUCCUAAAUCCCCAAACUCAACAGCCUCCCAGAUUUGGCCAAUCCAAAGAGAAGAUCCAUUUGGAUUUUUCUGCAAGGGAAUCUUAGCCGGAGAUGCUCUGUGGGCAAGGGUAACCCUAAAUUUUAAUUGUUGCUCCACGCACUGUUUCUUAAACUUGCUUUUACAGGUUUCCCGGAAAGUGCUCCAUUCCCUCUGACGAUGUGAUGGUGCAGGAAGAAGGGACUCACCUUGAGCACUAAAAGAUAGGGGGGGAAAGACCUUAUUUGACUGAGGGAAGGGUUUCUGCCAGAAAUACGUCAAUUGGGUUCCUCAGUGUUGCAGACAGGUAGAAACCAUGGUAAUGGGCAGACAUGAUGAGAACUCUCAUCAAGUAUCCCAAAGAGGUGCUAGUCUAUUCUCAAGGUGGGAUGCAAUAUUUAGGACCUCCCCGUCCCCAACCUCACCAGCUCCCUCCCCCUGCAGAGAUGUCUUGACUGAGCCACGCACGUGCCAGAUAUUAAUCUCCUGGUGUUUUCAGAAGGAGCUGUUUAAAUAUUUUUACUGGGAAUCGUCUCUCUCGGUGAAGUGGGUGUGAGAAAGCCAAGUAGGAGAUGAAGUUGUCAGAGUGCUGAAGGCAAGGAGUGACUUAGUGAACUGCUGACAGAAGGCCUGGAGGAGACUGGUGGGGCUUGCAGAAAACGGCCGGGCUUGUGGGUCGUCCGAUAGAGCAGGCAGUGGAAGGAAUGGUGGGCCUUCUGAGUCUCCCUCGUGAAGUGAGGCAGGCGAGAUGUCUGCCCAUGGUUGGUCAGAGGGUGUAUGCUUGUGAACACCAGUUGCUGGAGGCCACAAGAGGGGAAAGGGCUCUUGUGUUCAGGUCUUGCUCGCUGAACUAGGUGGGCCAUUGGUCUGAUCCAGCAUAUGAUCUUCUUCUGUUCAUAUGGUUCACCUCUUCCUAAUACCACUUUCUUUGCUGCCCCGAGUGAAGCUUCUAGCUUAUUAUAUUUUGUUAAAUUUCAAAAAUUUCACAUACACACCCCAAAACUCUUCAUUCUGCUAUGAACCUACCUGAAGCUUGAUAUUAGCCAAUAAGGUUCUCCUUCAAGCUCAAUUUUUUUGGGGAGAAAUGAGAGUGGCCUCCACAGGGAGUAGGGCCUUCUUAGUGGUAGCUCCAGAGGCCCUGGCGGGGCUGGCCAUGUGCACUGUUUUACAGAGAGCAAUCCUUUCCUUGAAGGCAUCCCCUUUUGAAGGCGUGUCCGAUCUAAUCCCAGUUUCAAGAUAAAGAACCAUACAAUAUGAGAUUGUAUGCAGUUGCCAGUCAACAGUACAUACUUGGUCGGCAGACUGGACAGGCAGCCAGGUCACCUGAGUACAGUAGCUCUCGCUGCAAUGAGAUGCAUUGUAUUUCUAUAAUUAGAAUAUGGAUAUUGGAUUGUAGCAAAUUCUUGUCCUGCUCAGAGUAAACCCAUUGGAAUUAAUAAAUACUAAUUGAUUUUGCUCGAUAGUUUUAACUUGAGGUGAGAGAGCCAUUUUGUAAGAUCAGUUUAAAAAAUAAUACAGUAUUUUUUGCUCUAUAAGACUCACUUUUUCCCUCCUAAAAAGUAAGGGGAAAUGUGUGUGCGUCUUAUGGAGCGAAUGCAGGCUGCGCAGUUAUCACAGAAGCCAGAACAGCAAGAGGGAUUGUUGCUUUCACUGCGCAGCGAUCCCUCUUGCUGUUCUGGCUUCUGAGAUACAGAUUAUUUUUUUUCUUGUUUUCCUCCUCCAAAAACUAGGUGCAUCUUGUGGUCUGGUGCGUCUUAUAGAGCGAAAAAUACGGUAAUUUUGCCCUGCAUAUUUUCCUGUGCAGUGUUCCACCACCCCUUUUUUUGAUAUUUAUAUGAGUGGGACACCUAUGAAGAUUUGAAUGCAUCAAAGUAAAUAAAUAACCACCUUGAAACUCAGAGCAGAGGGUCACAGCCAGAGACACUGCAAUAUGGAAUCUGGAAACUCACACAGACACACACAAUGUGCUUCUGGUGUUUCUCUUGUGUGUGAAAAGCAGCUGGAGUCAUUGUUCUUUGUGCUCUGAUCACCUCCCUCCGCCAAUCCUACCCCCAGUACACUUCUUCCCCUCCCCUGUUGUGCUACAAGGCGAAAAAUGGUCCCCUCUAAGUAGGGAAUCAACACCCUUGACCAAAACUGCCCCCUUGAACUCUGCUGGUAAUAAUUGCUGGGCACGGCUCGUAAAUCGCCCUCUGCCCCAUAACUCUGACGACUGCACGAAUUUGGGCUGAUAUUUCCAACGUCGCUCCGACUUGCCGUAGGGCUGUGUGGGUUUAGUUCUCCUCAAAUCCUCUGCCAGGUGUAAGAUUACCCCGCCUUGUUCUUUGCCUAUGACCCGUUCCCCUCUGCCACCCCCCCCAAUCUCUUGGAUUCCAGCCCCCACCUGUGUGCAAAUUCUUCUUCCCCAGUGCUAUGCCCGGCUCAGAAUAACAAGCCUUUGCCCAUUUGCUCAGGGCUCUCAUUCCGCGGCUUAGGGGAAGGCAGGCUUUUAAUGAGAUAAAAGUGUUACAUCGAUUUCUCUUUUUUCAGCCUAAGCCCUGUGAAAAUGCCGUGGACGAGAGCCAGAGGUUCUUUGGAGGCAGACCCGGCGAUGUUUCAACUUCUUGGCCCUUCCAUGGGCGUCUUCCUUCUCCAAACGCUUGCUCGGGACUGGUAGAAUCAACUUUCACAGACAGAGCUUUACAUUUAUGGGGUGUCAUCUAGAGAGGCUCCCAGGAGAGCCUGGCUUGAACUUUUCACCAUGCAAGGAAGCAGGGAAAUUAAGGAGGAUCAUCAGCUCCAAAGCCGGAGAAGACUCUUCCUUUGUGUGAUGGGAGAUAACUCAGCUGUGGUUCGUUCUGCUGUCCCUAGGAACACAGGAGGCUGCCUUUUACUGAGCCCAUUGGUUCAUCUGGCUCACCAGCUCCAACCUUCUGCAUGCCAAGCAGAUGAUCUGCCACAGUGCUACAGCCAUAGGAGCCAACUCCUAGGGGCCAAGCUCCCUUUGGCCUCCCAAUAAAAUAUUUGAUGGGGACACCCCCAAGUUGAUGGCCAUUGCCAUUCAAAUGGUGUGGAUGCACCCCCAUCAUGCGAUCGAUUAUGUGGGACGGGGCUUACCUGCCCCCCUAUUUUAUUCAAGCUGGCACCGCUGGCUACAGCCCUUCUCCUAAGAAAGAAGCUGUGCCACUGCUUCAAGAAAGUACUGGUCCUCUGCCUGGAGAGAAUUCAGAUGAUCCUUCUUCAUGUUCACCCUCAAUUCAAGGUGAAGAAUUUCAGCCAGACCUUCUUGCUCAAUUGCCACCUUGUCUUGCAGGUGAUGUGAAAUAUAUUCGGAGUCGAGAGUGGAUUUCAUGCUCUUUAUUCAGCUC
Molecule: non-coding RNA, 6087 nt
Organism: Podarcis lilfordi (Lilford's wall lizard)
Lineage: Eukaryota; Metazoa; Chordata; Lepidosauria; Squamata; Lacertidae
Source: the annotation of a GenBank genome assembly